GACGAACGCUGGCGGCGCGCCUAACACAUGCAAGUCGAACGGUGACGAGAGCUUCGGCUCUCUGAUCAGUGGCGGACGGGUGAGUAACGCGUGAGCAACCUGCCUAUCAGAGGGGGACAACAGUUGGAAACGACUGCUAAUACCGCAUAACAUCGUGAAGAGGCAUCUCUUUACGAUCAAAGAUUUAUCGCUGAUAGAUGGGCUCGCGUCUGAUUAGAUAGUUGGCGGGGUAACGGCCCACCAAGUCGACGAUCAGUAGCCGGACUGAGAGGUUGAACGGCCACAUUGGGACUGAGACACGGCCCAG
RNAcentral lists this ribosomal RNA (307 nucleotides) under uncultured bacterium. Its description in RNAcentral is "bacterial SSU rRNA". It matches the Rfam family "Bacterial small subunit ribosomal RNA", at positions 28 to 334 of the family's 1533-position model. The record is from RNAcentral.